CAGGCCGGUCUUCUGACUUGGCGUCAUCCGUCUGCCGCAGCCUUCCCGGCCAAAGCCAGUGGCAUGAUGAAGCGGCGGGCGUCGGCCUUACAGCGUUGGGCACGUUCCGGUCUUGCACCGGAUUCCCGAUUCUCCCGCGUGAAAG
This 145-nucleotide small RNA is filed under the name Rhizobium sp. N113. RNAcentral describes it as "miscellaneous other RNA". Lineage: Bacteria; Pseudomonadati; Pseudomonadota; Alphaproteobacteria; Hyphomicrobiales; Rhizobiaceae. The record is from RNAcentral. RNAcentral also lists the same sequence under 6 other names.